GGGAGGCAGCAGUGGGGAAUAUUGCACAAUGGGCGCAAGCCUGAUGCAGCCAUGCCGCGUGUGUGAAGAAGGCCUUCGGGUUGUAAAGCACUUUCAGUCAGGAGGAAAGGUUAGUAGUUAAUACCUGCUAGCUGUGACGUUACUGACAGAAGAAGCACCGGCUAACUCCGUGCCAGCAGCCGCGGUAAUACGGAGGGUGCGAGCGUUAAUCGGAAUUACUGGGCGUAAAGCGUACGCAGGCGGUUUGUUAAGCGAGAUGUGAAAGCCCCGGGCUCAACCUGGGAACUGCAUUUCGAACUGGCAAACUAGAGUGUGAUAGAGGGUGGUAGAAUUUCAGGUGUAGCGGUGAAAUGCGUAGAGAUCUGAAGGAAUACCGAUGGCGAAGGCAGCCACCUGGGUCAACACUGACGCUCAUGUACGAAAGCGUGGGGAGCAAACAGGAUUAGAUACCCUGGUAGUCCACGCCGUAAACGAUGUCUACUAGAAGCUCGGAACUUCGGUUCUGUUUUUCAAAGCUAACGCAUUAAGUAGACCGCCUGGGGAGUACGGCCGCAAGGUUAAAACUCAAAUGAAUUGACGGGGGCCCGCACAAGCGGUGGAGCAUGUGGUUUAAUUCGAUGCAACGCGAAGAACCUUACCUACACUUGACAUACAGAGAACUUACCAGAGAUGGUUUGGUGCCUUCGGGAACUCUGAUACAGGUGCUGCA
This 709-nucleotide ribosomal RNA is filed under the name Pseudoalteromonas sp. Its description in RNAcentral is "bacterial SSU rRNA". It matches the Rfam family "Bacterial small subunit ribosomal RNA", at positions 343 to 1045 of the family's 1533-position model. Lineage: Bacteria; Pseudomonadati; Pseudomonadota; Gammaproteobacteria; Alteromonadales; Pseudoalteromonadaceae. The record is from RNAcentral.